AUUUACUUUAUUUUAUAUGCCUAAAAGCUGUUGUGAAUGCAGAAAAAUUUAUAUUUUUAAAUUUUUUCUAGCUUUGUGUUGGAUUUAUUAAAAAAAAAAAUAUUUGUACGCUAAUUUCAAAUUUAAUAAAGUUAAUAAUUUUAUUUAAAUAUUUUUAUAUAUUUCUUAAUAUAUUGAAACAUUGUUCGAUGAUAGAAGAAUAUAUAAUACGGCAUACUAUAAUGGAUUAAAAUUAAAAUAAAACUUAUAAAAAUAUUCGCUCAUGCUGGAAGAGAAUAUAAAUAAAUAUUAGUAACCACAAAUGCAUUAAAAUAUUUUCCACACAACAUAUUUCCCCAGAAGCAGAAAAAUAGCAAAUAUUUGGCCAACAGCACGCACAC
This is a long non-coding RNA of Bactrocera dorsalis (oriental fruit fly), 380 nucleotides long. RefSeq lists it as uncharacterized. Lineage: Eukaryota; Metazoa; Arthropoda; Insecta; Diptera; Tephritidae. The record is from RefSeq and is a predicted model, not a curated record. The transcript has 2 exons.